GGCGGCGUGCUUAACACAUGCAAGUCGAACGAUGAAGCCCUUCGGGGUGGAUUAGUGGCGAACGGGUGAGUAACACGUGGGCAAUCUGCCCUUCACUCUGGGACAAGCCCUGGAAACGGGGUCUAAUACCGGAUACGAGGUUCGGAGGCAUCUCUGAACUUGGAAAGCUCCGGCGGUGAAGGAUGAGCCCGCGGCCUAUCAGCUUGUUGGUGAGGUAAUGGCUCACCAAGGCGACGACGGGUAGCCGGCCUGAGAGGGCGACCGGCCACACUGGGACUGAGACACGGCCCAGACUCCUACGGGAGGCAGCAGUGGGGAAUAUUGCACAAUGGGCGAAAGCCUGAUGCAGCGACGCCGCGUGAGGGAUGACGGCCUUCGGGUUGUAAACCUCUUUCAGCAGGGAAGAAGCGAAAGUGACGGUACCUGCAGAAGAAGCGCCGGCUAACUACGUGCCAGCAGCCGCGGUAAUACGUAGGGCGCAAGCGUUGUCCGGAAUUAUUGGGCGUAAAGAGCUCGUAGGCGGCUUGUCACGUCGAUUGUGAAAGCCCGAGGCUUAACCUCGGGUCUGCAGUCGAUACGGGCUAGCUAGAGUGUGGUAGGGGAGAUCGGAAUUCCUGGUGUAGCGGUGAAAUGCGCAGAUAUCAGGAGGAACACCGGUGGCGAAGGCGGAUCUCUGGGCCAUUACUGACGCUGAGGAGCGAAAGCGUGGGGAGCGAACAGGAUUAGAUACCCUGGUAGUCCACGCCGUAAACGGUGGGCACUAGGUGUUGGCGACAUUCCACGUCGUCGGUGCCGCAGCUAACGCAUUAAGUGCCCCGCCUGGGGAGUACGGCCGC
RNAcentral lists this ribosomal RNA (836 nucleotides) under Streptomyces sp. IM-7580. RNAcentral's name for it is "bacterial SSU rRNA". It matches the Rfam family "Bacterial small subunit ribosomal RNA", at positions 38 to 889 of the family's 1533-position model. Lineage: Bacteria; Bacillati; Actinomycetota; Actinomycetes; Kitasatosporales; Streptomycetaceae. The record is from RNAcentral.